UAAUAUAUAAAGUAAGUCCUGCCCGGUGACAUCAAGUUUAACGGCCGCGGUAUCCUAACCGUGCAAAGGUAGCAUAAUCAUUUGUCUAUUAAUUGUAGACUAGAAUGAAGGGAUAAACGAAAUAAAAACUGUCUCUGUCAAUAAUCUAAAACUUAUAAUCUAUAUGAAGAUGUAUAGAUUUAUUCGUAAGACAAGAAGACCCUAUAGAGCUUAAUUUUAAAAUAAGUGUAUUAUCUUAAAAUUCGGUUGGGGCGGCCUAGGGACUAAACUAUCACCCUAAAAAUAAAAGAUUAAUAAAUCUAAUAAGUGACCCUUAUAAAGAUCAAAAAAACAAGCUACCUUAGGGAUAACAGGCUAAUUCUAUUAUAGAGUUCUUAUCGACAAUAGGGUUUGGCACCUCGAUGUUGGCUUAGGGUAUCUAUAAAGCGCAAAAGCUAUAUAAUGAUGGUUUGUUC
Molecule: ribosomal RNA, 455 nt
Filed under: Diplocardia mississippiensis
Lineage: Eukaryota; Metazoa; Annelida; Clitellata; Crassiclitellata; Megascolecidae
Description: partial 16S ribosomal RNA
Rfam family: Bacterial large subunit ribosomal RNA
Source: RNAcentral